UUAAGUUCAGCGGGUAGUCCUACCUGAUUUGAGGCCAGAUGUCAAAUAAAAUUAGGGUUAGAAAGCGAUUUCCAAAGUCCGGUUGAAAAGCAAUGGCCAGCACCGAAGCACUGUCCUUAGCGAAAUACUUAUUACGCCAAGUCAAACCAAUUGCAAUGCAAAAGUCCAAGACAAUAGAUCCACUGAUCCUUUUAAGGUGA
RNAcentral lists this unclassified non-coding RNA (200 nucleotides) under Goffeauzyma sp. RNAcentral's name for it is "partial internal transcribed spacer 2". Lineage: Eukaryota; Fungi; Basidiomycota; Tremellomycetes; Filobasidiales; Filobasidiaceae. The record is from RNAcentral. RNAcentral also lists the same sequence under 1 other name.